This 297-nucleotide ribosomal RNA is filed under the name uncultured Microgenomates group bacterium. RNAcentral's name for it is "partial 16S ribosomal RNA". It matches the Rfam family "Bacterial small subunit ribosomal RNA", at positions 28 to 351 of the family's 1533-position model. The record is from RNAcentral.
GAUGAACGCUGGCGGCGUGCCUUAAGCAUGCAAGUCGAAUGGUCGCAAGACAAUGGCAGACGGGUGAGUAAUAUAUAGGAAUCUACCCUUCAAUGGACCAUAGCUCAUCGAAAGAUGGGGUAAUAGUCCAUAGUCUCGAAAGAGUAAAGAUCUUAACUGAUCGUUGAAGGAGGAGCCUAUAUCCUAUCAGCUAGUUGGCGGGGUAAAAGCCCACCAAGGCGAUGACGGGUAGCUGGACUGAGAGGUCGGUCAGCCACAACUGCACUGAGACACGGGCAGUACACCUACGGGUGGCAG